UGGGGAAUAUUGGACAAUGGGCGAAAGCCUGAUCCAGCCAUGCCGCGUGUGUGAAGAAGGUCUUCGGAUUGUAAAGCACUUUAAGUUGGGAGGAAGGGUUGUAGAUUAAUACUCUGCAAUUUUGACGUUACCGACAGAAUAAGCACCGGCUAACUCUGUGCCAGCAGCCGCGGUAAUACAGAGGGUGCAAGCGUUAAUCGGAAUUACUGGGCGUAAAGCGCGCGUAGGUGGUUUGUUAAGUUGGAUGUGAAAGCCCCGGGCUCAACCUGGGAACUGCAUCCAAAACUGGGAAGCUAGAGUACGGUAGAGGGUGGUGGAAUUUCCUGUGUAGCGGUGAAAUGCGUAGAUAUAGGAAGGAACACCAGUGGCGAAGGCGACCACCUGGACUGAUACUGACACUGAGGUGCGAAAGCGUGGGGAGCAAACA
RNAcentral lists this ribosomal RNA (427 nucleotides) under uncultured bacterium. RNAcentral describes it as "partial 16S ribosomal RNA". It matches the Rfam family "Bacterial small subunit ribosomal RNA", at positions 355 to 774 of the family's 1533-position model. The record is from RNAcentral.